RNAcentral lists this long non-coding RNA (835 nucleotides) under Ornithorhynchus anatinus (platypus). RNAcentral describes it as "lncRNA (ENSOANG00000040598.1)". Lineage: Eukaryota; Metazoa; Chordata; Mammalia; Monotremata; Ornithorhynchidae. The record is from RNAcentral.
AUGGGGCGCGGGCCGCUCCCGUGCCCUAGCAGGACGCCGGGCCACGCUGCCCGUGGGACCGCCGGACGGAGGCUUGGCGGCAGAGACCCCGGAGAGAGAGAGAGACUCCAUCCCCUGGAAAGAGUGGCGGGUUCCGAGCUUCCCCGGGACCUCAGGGGGCUUUUCCUACCCCGGGAAUCGGGGCUGGGCUCCUGGACUCAUUCUUCGGGGGUAGCCCGGGCCGGGCGGGGGGACCCCGAGGUCCCGAGCUUCUGCCUUCUCGGGCGGGUCCCCUCUCUUCCCGAGGCUUCGCCUCCUCUCAUUAAACAGACCGAGACCGGCAGGAGAAGCAAGUCCCCGGGACCCAGGGCCCCCACCCCAGUAGGAUGGGACAACCAUAAUGAUAACAGCAAUGACGUGUCAGACGCGUACUAUGUGCCGAGCGCCGAGAAGCAGCGUGGUUCGGUGGGAAGAGGACGGGCUUGGGAGUCAGAGGAUGUGAGUUCUGAUCCCCGCUCCGCCACCUGUCUGCUGGGUGACCUUGGGCCAGCCACUCAACCGAAACCCAGGGAAGUUCCCUCAUCCGGAAAAUGGGGACGAAGCCGUGAGCCCCACGGGGGUCAAUCCGAUUACCUCUUAUCUACCCCGGGGCUUAGAACGGUGCUUGACCCACGGCGACCGCUGAACGGAUACCUUCAUUAUUAGUAACAUUAGAAGCGGAUGAGAGUGUGAGCCCCGUGCGGGACAGGGAGCCUGUCCGGUCUUAAACCCCAUCGUACAGCGGAGGUAACAGAGCCCGUAGAAGCGAAGCGAGUUGGCGAAGGUCACCGGGUGGAGAACCCCGCGGGUCCUCCUG